GACGAACGCUGGCGGCGUGCUUACACAUGCAAGUCGAACGGAAAGGCCCUGCUUUUGUGGGGUGCUCGAGUGGCGAACGGGUGAGUAACACGUGAGUAACCUGCCCUUGACUUUGGGAUAACUUCAGGAAACUGGGGCUAAUACCGGAUAGGAGCUCCUGCUGCAUGGUGGGGGUUGGAAAGUUUCGGCGGUUGGGGAUGGACUCGCGGCUUAUCAGCUUGUUGGUGGGGUAGUGGCUUACCAAGGCUUUGACGGGUAGCCGGCCUGAGAGGGUGACCGGCCACAUUGGGACUGAGAUACGGCCCAGACUCCUACGGGAGGCAGCAGUGGGGAAUAUUGCACAAUGGGCGGAAGCCUGAUGCAGCAACGCCGCGUGCGGGAUGACGGCCUUCGGGUUGUAAACCGCUUUCGCCUGUGACGAAGCGUGAGUGACGGUAAUGGGUAAAGAAGCACCGGCUAACUACGUGCCAGCAGCCGCGGUGAUACGUAGGGUGCGAGCGUUGUCCGGAUUUAUUGGGCGUAAAGGGCUCGUAGGUGGUUGAUCGCGUCGGAAGUGUAAUCUUGGGGCUUAACCCUGAGCGUGCUUUCGAUACGGGUUGACUUGAGGAAGGUAGGGGAGAAUGGAAUUCCUGGUGGAGCGGUGGAAUGCGCAGAUAUCAGGAGGAACACCAGUGGCGAAGGCGGUUCUCUGGGCCUUUCCUGACGCUGAGGAGCGAAAGCGUGGGGAGCGAACAGGCUUAGAUACCCUGGUAGUCCACGCUGUAAACGGUGGGUACUAGGUGUGGGGUCCAUUCCACGGGUUCCGUGCCGUAGCUAACGCUUUAAGUACCCCGCCUGGGGAGUACGGCCGCAAGGCUAAAACUCAAAGGAAUUGACGGGGCCCCGCACAAGCGGCGGAGCAUGCGGAUUAAUUCGAUGCAACGCGUAGAACCUUACCUGGGUUUGACAUGGAUCGGGAGUGCUCAGAGAUGGGUGUGCCUCUUUUGGGGUCGGUUCACAGGUGGUGCAUGCCUGUCGUCAGCUCGUGUCGUGAGAUGUUGGGUUAAGUCCCGCAACGAGCGCAACCCUUGUUCACUGUUGCCAGCACGUUAUGGUGGGGACUCAAUGGAGACCGCCGGGGUCAACUCGGAGGAAGGUGGGGAUGACGUCAAGUCAUCAUGCCCCUUAUGUCCAGGGCUUCACGCAUGCUACAAUGGCUGGUACAGAGAGUGGCGAGCCUGUGAGGGUGAGCGAAUCUCGGAAAGCCGGUCUCAGUUCGGAUUGGGGUCUGCAACUCGACCUCAUGAAGUCGGAGUCGCUAGUAAUCGCAGAUCAGCAACGCUGCGGUGAAUACGUUCCCGGGGCU
RNAcentral lists this ribosomal RNA (1345 nucleotides) under uncultured bacterium. Its description in RNAcentral is "partial 16S ribosomal RNA". It matches the Rfam family "Bacterial small subunit ribosomal RNA", at positions 28 to 1381 of the family's 1533-position model. The record is from RNAcentral.